This 253-nucleotide ribosomal RNA is filed under the name uncultured bacterium. RNAcentral's name for it is "partial 16S ribosomal RNA". It matches the Rfam family "Bacterial small subunit ribosomal RNA", at positions 524 to 776 of the family's 1533-position model. The record is from RNAcentral.
UACAGGGGGGGCAAGCGUUGUUCGGAAUUACUGGGCGUAAAGGGUCUGUAGGUGGCCAACUAAGUCAGACGUGAAAUCCCUCAGCUUAACUGGGGAACUGCGUCUGAUACUGGAUGGCUUGAGUGUGGGAGAGGAAUGCGGAAUUCCAGGUGUAGCGGUGAAAUGCGUAGAUAUCUGGAGGAACACCGGUGGCGAAGGCGGCAUUCUGGACCAUAACUGACACUGAGAGACGAAAGCCAGGGUAGCAAACGGG